Molecule: non-coding RNA, 2893 nt
Organism: Salmo salar (Atlantic salmon)
Lineage: Eukaryota; Metazoa; Chordata; Actinopteri; Salmoniformes; Salmonidae
Source: RefSeq, a predicted model, not a curated record
ACUUUGUCUGACUUCGGACAUUUAAAGAGAAGGCACUGACGCACAAAUGACCGGUGAGAUCUGCGACCGAACGUUAGUAAUAAUGUGCCGUUUGUAGUGUGUUAGUAACUACUUUUACAACAUGAGUUCAGAAUCGGUCAUUCUGUUGGAGACUGUCAACUUCGCUGCUGAAAAGCACCGCUAUCAACGACGUAAAGACGCGGAACAAACGCCAUAUAUCAACCACCCAAUAGGAGUGGCAAGGAUCCUGAGCCAUGAAGGUGGGAUCACAGACAUUGAAGUUUUGCAAGCAGCUUUGCUCCAUGAUACAGUGGAGGACACUGACACCAGCAUAGGAGAGCUACAGGCUAUCUUUGGGCAAACGGUGGCUCGAAUCGUUCAGGAAGUGACAGAUGACAAGGCGCUACCCAAGCAGGAGAGGAAACGUCAGCAGGUGGAGCAUGCACCUCAUGCCAGCCAGCAGGCCAAACUGGUCAAACUGGCUGACAAACUAUACAACCUGAGGGACCUGAACCGCUGCACACCCACAGGUUGGUCGGCAGAGCGUGUUCAGGAGUACUUUGUGUGGUCAGCCCAGGUAGUGCGAGGACUGAGGGGGACCAACCCAGCACUGGAGAGACACCUAGAGGAGCUCUUCAAGCAGAGGGGGGUUGAGCUUUGACACCUCUCUACUUCUGACACAGGGUGGCACAACAGAACAACUCUUGAUGCACACUUUUGUGAGUUCAUGUGAAAAAAUGGCGCCUUUCCUUCGCUGGAUGAGCCGUUUGGCAAAAUGAGAGUAUACCCACUUCUCCAGGCACCACUACAGCCCUGAUUGAGGUUAAACAUGUAUGAUCAAAUAUGGUCAAGAAUAUUGAGUUCUCUGAACUUGCUACUGAUUCUCUGUUGGAGGGAUUUACAUGUCAACUUUGGUUAAAGUUUAUUCGUGUUCUUUGGACCGUGAGAUUUUCUGAAGCUCCUGGGUAGAAUUUGCUUAGAAGAUGCAGGCGUUAUUUGACUACGGUGUUCCUUUUUAGGCAAUGUGUGUACAGGGCCCUUACUAUAUUGUCUUUCCCUGAAUCCUCACUUCCACUUUCAAAGUCUCUCCCCUCUGACGUUGUCCUCCAAUUCGUUUAGAGAAGGCGAGGAAAGAGGAUGUGGGAAACCUAUGAGGAAGAGCCAUGGAUUGGUUGGCAAGAUUAAGGAGGCACUCUGAUUGGUGGGCUGUGCGGACACGUGAGAGGGGGCCAGCAGAGUAGCAGCAGGGUCAUAAUAGCAGCAGCAGCAGUGGGGUCAGCUCCGCUCCACACUUACUGAGCACUGGGGCAUCAUGCAGACGAAGAGUAGCUUCACUGGUCUCCUCAUCACUGCUCUGUGUGCGGUGGCCUCUUGUAAACUCGGAGAAUAUCACUAUGUGUCUGAAGAGAAGACCUGGUCAGAGGCUCAGCAGUACUGUCGUGAGCACUACACUGACCUGGCCUUCAUCAGCAACCAGGAAGAAGUAAAUCAGCUCCUUUCCAUUUCAAGGGGUCAUUGGACCUGGAUUGGUUUGCACAGAGAUGUUAACGACCCUACAGGAUGGACAUGGUCAGGAGGAGAGAACUCAGCAUUUAGGUUUUGGAAGUCAGGAGAGCCAAACAAUGCUGGUGGCAUUGAGGACUGUGUCACGGUACAGUGGGAUAUGAGAUGGAUGGAUUCGCUUUGCUCCCGGACAUUCCCCUUCUUAUGCUACAAGGAGAAGCUGAUCCUAGUUCAGGAGAUGAAGACAUGGGAGGAGGCUCUGGAGUACUGCAGGGAUCACUACACCGACCUCCCCAGCCUGCUCUCUGAGACUGAACAUCUCCAGGCCCAGAGCAAGAUAGAGGCCGCCCAGACCGACCAUGUGUGGACGGGUCUGAUCUUCCUGGCCAGAGAAUGGCUGUGGGUGAACGGGGACCACCUGGAGUACCAAGCCUGGUCCGGCGGGGAGCUGCCCCACUGCCCCGCCCAAUACCUCCACUGUGGGACCCUGACCAGAGAUGAAGAGCACUGGGGAACCAGGAACUGUGAGGAGAGGAGGAACUUCCUCUGCUACAGAGCGUGAGCCCCAGUGGAGAGAGAUAUUACUGUAGUAGAUAUGAUCAUCUAUGUAUGCUCUCUACUUGUUACUAGUUAACGCUGUGAUUGAUUAUUCACUCUAUUUACUUGUUGGUGCAUAUAAACCUAUUGGGUUUAACCCAGGGGAGGCAGGUAGCCUAGCGAUUAGAGCGUUGGGCCAGUAACCAAAAGAUUGCUGGUUGGAAUAACUGAGCCGACAAGGUGAAAAAUCUAUUGAUGUGCACUUUAGCAAGGCACUGAACCCUAAUGUGCUCCAGGGGCGCCGUACUACUAUGGCUGACCCUGUAAAACAACACAUUUCACUGCACCUAUCUGGUGUAUGUGACAAUAAGUCAUAUAUGUUUUGGUGUGUGUUUUCUACAAUAGUCUACUAGUUUUGUACCUAUAGAUACCGUGGUUAUGAUAGUGGGUGCUUUGUGUGUACACAGACCAGAAUACUGGGCACAGAUGUCAGUUCAAUGUCUAGUUUUGAUAACAUUUAAUUGAGUUGGUAAUUAACUUCUUUUUUUUUUACCAUGUCAUUCGAUUUAGGUAGGGUAAAAAAAAAUAUACAAGAAAUCACGGAAUUCCUUCAGGUUGAUGACUCUGCAAAUCCAAUCAGUUUUCCGUUUUGAUGCAUCCUCAUCAGAAUGAAAAACAGUAACAGUAGAUAUGAACGUACACAUCAUGUAUUGUACAUCAUAUAUUGUAUAUCAUAUAUUGUAUAUCAUGUAUUGUAUACCAUGUAUUGUACAUCAUAUAUUGUAUAUCAUGUAUUGUAUAUCAUGUAAGGAAACCAAAUGUUGGUAUGAAAUAAAUAAUUAACUUAGACAAA